RNAcentral lists this ribosomal RNA (523 nucleotides) under uncultured bacterium. Its description in RNAcentral is "bacterial SSU rRNA". It matches the Rfam family "Bacterial small subunit ribosomal RNA", at positions 524 to 1050 of the family's 1533-position model. The record is from RNAcentral.
CACGUAGGGGGCGAGCGUUGUUCGGAAUCAUUGGGCGUAAAGGGUGCGCAGGCGGCCGACCGAGUCUGGUGUGAAAUACCCCGGCCCAACCGGGGGGGCGCGCUGGAAACUGGACGGCUGGAGUGCAGGAGGGGGAGUCGGAAUUCCAGGUGUAGGGGUGAAAUCUGUAGAUAUCUGGAAGAACACCGGUGGCGAAGGCGGACUCCUGGCCAUGCACUGACGCUGAGGCACGAAGGCGUGGGGAGCAAACAGGUUUAGAUACCCUGGUAGUCCACGCAGUAAACGAUGCACACUAGGUGGUGGGCGGUAGCGCUCAGUACCGUAGCGAACGCGUUAAGUGUGCCGCCUGGGGAGUAUGCUCGCAAGGGUGAAACUCAAAGGAAUUGACGGGGGCCCGCACAAGCGGUGGAGCAUGUGGUUUAAUUCGAUGGUACGCGAGGAACCUUACCCGGGUUUGACAUGGGCCGGAAGGGGCGCGAAAGCGUCCUGCCCCUCGGGGCCGGUCCACAGGUGCUGCAUGGCU